Molecule: ribosomal RNA, 380 nt
Filed under: Oribacterium sinus
Lineage: Bacteria; Bacillati; Bacillota; Clostridia; Lachnospirales; Lachnospiraceae
Description: bacterial SSU rRNA
Rfam family: Bacterial small subunit ribosomal RNA
Source: RNAcentral
UCGGCCGGAAGAUACGUUAUCUAGUGGCGGACGGGUGAGUAACACGUGGGUAACCUGCCUUAUGGAGGGGGAUAACAGAGAGAAAUCACUGCUAAUACCGCAUAAGCACACACACCGCAUGGUACAGGGUGAAAAGAUUUAUCGCCAUAAGAUGGACCCGCGUCUGAUUAGCCAGUUGGCAGGGUAAAAGCCUACCAAAGCAACGAUCAGUAGCCGAUCUGAGAGGAUGACCGGCCACAUUGGGACUGAGACACGGCCCAAACUCCUACGGGAGGCAGCAGUGGGGAAUAUUGCACAAUGGGGGAAACCCUGAUGCAGCGACGCCGCGUGAGUGAAGAAGUAUUUCGGUAUGUAAAGCUCUAUCACGCAGGGAAGAUAAU